GUUAGUAUGUCCGAGUGGUUAAGGAGAUAGACUUGAAAUUUAUUGGGCUUUGCCUGCGCAGGUUCGAAUCUUGCUAUUUACG
This 82-nucleotide transfer RNA is filed under the name Ipomoea nil (Japanese morning glory). It matches the Rfam family "tRNA". Rfam says of the family: Transfer RNA (tRNA) molecules are approximately 80 nucleotides in length. Lineage: Eukaryota; Viridiplantae; Streptophyta; Magnoliopsida; Solanales; Convolvulaceae. The record is from Rfam by way of RNAcentral.